Molecule: long non-coding RNA, 694 nt
Filed under: Cyanistes caeruleus (blue tit)
Lineage: Eukaryota; Metazoa; Chordata; Aves; Passeriformes; Paridae
Description: lncRNA (ENSCCEG00000004226.1)
Source: RNAcentral
AACUUCCCAGGCUUGCUUUUUAUUUUGUAUUAACAAUGCACUGUACUAAAAUUUCCCAUACUGGAACACAGUCCCUAGUGGUUUUCAAGCUAUAAACUGAGUAAACAGUCCCUUUCUUAUUGAGUGUCUGUGUGAGUGCAUGUUGUUUCUGGAAUACAUCAUAUUCAUUUGCAGAAACCCUGUGUAUGGAUCUUUAACACUUCUUUCCCCCUUUUUUUUUCCGAGGUGCCUAGAAUAAUGGCUUUUUAAAACAGUAAUAUAGCGGUGUAACUUGUGGGGAAAACCACACUGUGGCUUACAGUCUGAAUUAAACGUGUGUCAUUGUGGAAACCUGAUAUUUUGGACCAGAUCCCUGUCUGAACAGGUUGUAUGCUGCCCUUUUCAAAAUCAAGCUAUCAGAGGAUGCCCUUCAGCAGAAGUGUUAAGAGGACUUGGCAAAGCUUUCUGGUGAGUGGGGCACACCACUCAGGGAGCACUGGAGGAAGGAUUUUGUCACUGAUGCUCUUCCAAGACAUCAACACCAACUGGCAUCACUGGCAUUCAUCUUUUGGGUGAGACUGUGACUGGAAUCCUCUCUCUCAAAGCAAACACUGCAGGAUCAAAAGUGUCAAAAAUCUGCAUCACUGCCUCAUUAUCAAUCACUGGGAUAUUUCUGGAGAAGCAGUUUGAUUUGCAUCGUUGGACCUCCUACCUA